AUUGAACGCUGGCGGCAGGCCUAACACAUGCAAGUCGAACGGUAACAGGAAGAAGCUUGCUUCUUUGCUGACGAGUGGCGGACGGGUGAGUAAUGUCUGGGAAACUGCCUGAUGGAGGGGGAUAACUACUGGAAACGGUAGCUAAUACCGCAUAACGUCGCAAGACCAAAGAGGGGGACCUUCGGGCCUCUUGCUAUCGGAUGUGCCCAGAUGGGAUUAGCUAGUAGGUGGGGUAACGGCUCACCUAGGCGACGACCCCUAGCUGGUCUGAGAGGAUGACCAGCCACACUGGAACUGAGACACGGUCCAGACUCCUACGGGAGGCAGCAGUGGGGAAUAUUGCACAAUGGGCGCAAGCCUGAUGCAGCCAUGCCGCGUGUAUGAAGAAGGCCUUCGGGUUGUAAAGUACUUUCAGCGGGGAGGAAGGGAGUAAAGUUAAUACCUUUGCUCAUUGACGUUACCCGCAGAAGAAGCACCGGCUAACUCCGUG
Molecule: ribosomal RNA, 490 nt
Filed under: uncultured bacterium
Lineage: Bacteria
Description: partial 16S ribosomal RNA
Rfam family: Bacterial small subunit ribosomal RNA
Source: RNAcentral